RNAcentral lists this ribosomal RNA (445 nucleotides) under uncultured bacterium. RNAcentral's name for it is "bacterial SSU rRNA". It matches the Rfam family "Bacterial small subunit ribosomal RNA", at positions 354 to 796 of the family's 1533-position model. The record is from RNAcentral.
GUGAGGAAUAUUGGUCAAUGGGCGCAAGCCUGAACCAGCCAUGCCGCGUGCAGGAAGACGGUCCUAUGGAUUGUAAACUGCUUUUAUUUGGGAAUAAACUCCGGUACGUGUACCGGCCUGAAGGUACCAAAUGAAUAAGCACCGGCUAACUCCGUGCCAGCAGCCGCGGUAAUACGGAGGGUGCAAGCGUUAUCCGGAAUCAUUGGGUUUAAAGGGUCCGCAGGCGGUCUUAUAAGUCAGUGGUGAAAGCCUACAGCUCAACUGUAGAACUGCCAUUGAUACUGUAGGACUUGAAUUCGAUCGGAGUGGGCGGAAUGUGACAUGUAGCGGUGAAAUGCUUAGAUAUGUCACAGAACACCGAUAGCGAAGGCAGCUCACUAGGUCUGGAUUGACGCUCAGGGACGAAAGCGUGGGGAGCAAACAGGAUUAGAAACCCGUGUAGUCC